Molecule: ribosomal RNA, 433 nt
Filed under: uncultured bacterium
Lineage: Bacteria
Description: partial 16S ribosomal RNA
Rfam family: Bacterial small subunit ribosomal RNA
Source: RNAcentral
AACGAACGCUGGCGGCAUGCCUAACACAUGCAAGUCGAACGAGACCUUCGGGCCUAGUGGCGCACGGGUGCGUAACGCGUGGGAACCUGCCCUUAGGUUCGGAAUAACUCCCCGAAAGGGGUGCUAAUACCGGAUAAUGUCUUCGGACCAAAGAUUUAUCGCCUUUGGAUGGGCCCGCGUUGGAUUAGCUAGUUGGUAGGGUAAAAGCCUACCAAGGCGAGGAUCCAUAGCUGGUCUGAGAGGAUGAUCAGCCACACUGGGACUGGGACGCGGCCCAGACUCCUACGGGAUGCAGCAGUGGGGAAUAUUGGACAAUGGGCGAAAGCCUGAUCCAGCAAUGCCGCUUGAGUGAUGAAGGCCUUAGGGUUGUAAAGCUCUUUUACCCGGGAUGAUAAUGACAGUACCGGGAGAAUAAGCUCCGGCUAACUCCGUG